CUUGUCUGGCCCGCCGGGUCUGGCCCGUGCGUGUGCUGAUAAGUGCGCGCCAUCCUUCUAAUUUGCUUGUUGUGUGUAUAUAUAUUUCCAUGUAUGUAUUUCAACAAGUGGGUUAGAUCUUUGACUUUGAACAAAUUAGAGUGUUUCAGGCAGGCAUAUUUUGCUAUGAAUACAUGAGCAUGGAAUCAUCAGUUUCUAAGCUUCGGCUUGAUUCUGGUUGGUUGUGCAAGCUGAAGUGCAAUGAUGGAUAGGGACAGUUGGGGGUGCUAGUAUUCAGCGGCCAGAGGUGAAAUUCUCGGAUUCGCUGAAGACUAACUACAGCGAAAGCAUU
RNAcentral lists this ribosomal RNA (331 nucleotides) under uncultured Glissomonadida. RNAcentral describes it as "SSU rRNA". The stretch from base 53 to 331 matches the Rfam family "Eukaryotic small subunit ribosomal RNA", at positions 683 to 955 of the family's 1831-position model. The record is from RNAcentral. Lineage: Eukaryota; Cercozoa; Glissomonadida.